UCCGGCCUCAUUGCCCCGGAACCAGGAUUUUCCUCCUGGACGAGGAAGACGCAAACAACUCUACGAGGUUUUUCUUCCCAGCAUUCUUCUUUGUUUUUAAUCUUUCAGUAUUUUCUUUUUUUAAGAGAUGAAGUCAACUUUCUGGAGGUUGAGGUGUCGGUCUCCAGAAUGUAGUCCCCGGAGGAACGCACGCUCUCGCGGCCUCAAGGGGUGGACAGAGUCUUGGCAAAGGGGGCCCUCGGAGGAUCUACGCCGUUAGCGGAGCUAAGUCCGCGGCUUCUAGGGCAGGAGGGGAGGAGCCUGGAAAGGCAGAGGAAACCGCUGGUUCAGACGCCGGUUCAACGACCGGCGUGGGACCCCCGAGUAGCUGGGGCGGGGUCACCAAGAGGAGACCCGGUGGGAGAGGGCGUGGCGAGCAGGUCGGGCGGGGACUUGUGGGCUCUCCUACUGGGGAGAAAGCGAGAGGCUCUGAGCGUGGGCCGCGGCGCGAGAGGGAGGUACCACGACUUAAUACUUCUGACUGGCCCGACGCGGGGGCGAGUGCAGAGAAGCGGAAAGGCCGGUGAGGAAAGGGGGAUUGCGUUCUCCCAGGAAAGAGAUAGUGAGCGCUUGGGCCCGGGGUUGUGGCAGUGCAGGGGGUGCGCAGUGGCCAGAUUCUGGUUGUAUUUUGAAAGUAGAGCCGCCGGCAUUUGCGGACAAUCGGGGAACAUAUGGGUGUGAAAGAGAAGAGUGGACGGUGACUCCAGCGGUUCUGGCCAGAGCUACUGGAAGGAAGGACACGGUUGUCAUAUUCUGAGUUGGGCGAGGACCAAGUUUGUCGAGGAGGCUGGAGGUGGAGGCGGAGCGAGAAUAAGUAUCCUGCAGUCUUCAAAGAAAGUGCCGGUUGUGAAAGACGGCGCAAAGGCAGAAGGGCACGGAACGAGAAUUGGCAACUAAAUGCAGCAAGGGAUUCCAGACUGGGUCCUGGGCCCGGAAAACAAAUCUCUCUAAAGGACGCUUUGGGAUAGCUGGAGAAAUCUGAACUUGGGAGUGUAGCUUAUAGUAUGGUGUUCAUGUCAAACUUCCAGAUGGCCAUGUUCCCAGGAAACACACACUUAAGUUUAUCUGGGGGGUGAAGGGACAUUGCAUGUGCAACCUACAAGUGGUUCAAUAAAGAAAAAUAUAUGG
Long non-coding RNA from Marmota monax (woodchuck), 1167 nucleotides. RefSeq lists it as uncharacterized. The record is from RefSeq and is a predicted model, not a curated record. Lineage: Eukaryota; Metazoa; Chordata; Mammalia; Rodentia; Sciuridae. The transcript is spliced from 2 exons.